UUCCGUAGGUGAACCUGCGGAAGGAUCAUUAAUUAUGUUAAAGCGCCUUACCUUAGGGUUUCCUCUGGGGUAAGUGAUUGCUUCUACACUGUGAAAAUUUGGCUGAGAGACUCAGACUGGUCAUGGGUAGACCUAUCUGGGGUUUGAUCGAUGCCACUCCUGGUUUCAGGAGCACCCUUCAUAAUAAACCUAGAAAUUCAGUAUUAUAAAGUUUAAUAAAAAACAACUUUUAACAAUGGAUCUCUUGGUUCUCGCAUCGAUGAAGAACGUAGCAAAGUGCGAUAACUAGUGUGAAUUGCAUAUUCAGUGAAUCAUCGAGUCUUUGAACGCAGCUUGCACUCUAUGGUUUUUCUAUAGAGUACGCCUGCUUCAGUAUCAUCACAAACCCACACAUAACAUUUGUUUAUGUGGUGAUGGGUCGCAUCGCUGUUUUAUUACAGUGAGCACCUAAAAUGUGUGUGAUUUUCUGUCUGGCUUGCUAGGCAGGAAUAUUACGCUGGUCUCAGGAUCUUUUUUUUUGGUUCGCCCAGGAAGUAAAGUACAAGAGUAUAAUCCAGUAACUUUCAAACUAUGAUCUGAAGUCAGGUGGGAUUACCCGCUGAACUUAAGCAUAUCAAUAAGCGGAGGA
RNAcentral lists this ribosomal RNA (628 nucleotides) under uncultured organism. Its description in RNAcentral is "eukaryotic LSU rRNA". The stretch from base 225 to 378 matches the Rfam family "5.8S ribosomal RNA". The record is from RNAcentral.